AGCAUACUGAGACCCAGAGUGAUAAAGAACAAGAGUCUGAAAAAAAAAAAAAAAAAAGGAAAAAAAAAUGGGUAAGGGGGGAAAAAAAGUAUACUAGCCGGGCUGGCUCAGGCCAUAAAGCAUGCGACUCUUGAUCUUGGGGUCAUGAGUUCAAGCCCCGCGUUGGGUGUGGAGUUCGCCUAACACAAAAGAAAAAAAUAGGGUCCUGCACACUGUUGGGAACUCAGUACAUAUCUGUAGAAUGACUGGAUUACUGUUAUGUGGUUAUGCCUCUGCACUAUAUACUGUGUGGCAUUCUGUGACUGACAUACAUAAUUUGGAGGUAAAUAAAUUUUUCGUUGGACCAUAGGCUGCAGGCUCCUGAGAUGCCACAUCCAGACGAAAGCAGGGGAAGGCACACCGCCUAGAAAUACUCAGACGUUGAGGUGCCUCCUAUUGGGUGGGGGCAUCUGGGUGGCUUGGUUGGUUAAGUGUGCGACUCUUGAUUUCGGUUCCGGUCGUGAUCUCAGGGUUGUGAGAUUGAGCCCCACAUCGCGCUCAGUCUGCUUGAAAUUCUCUCUCUCCCUCUUCCUCUGCCCCUCUCCUCGCUUGCCCGUGCCCUUUAAAUAAAAAAUAAAGAAA
This 621-nucleotide long non-coding RNA is filed under the name Mustela putorius furo (domestic ferret). RNAcentral describes it as "lncRNA (ENSMPUG00000024855.1)". Lineage: Eukaryota; Metazoa; Chordata; Mammalia; Carnivora; Mustelidae. The record is from RNAcentral.